UACGGAGGGUGCAAGCGUUGCUCGGAAUUACUGGGCGUAAAGCGUGUGUAGGCGGCCCUAUAAGUCGGGUGUGAAAUCCCUAGGCUCAACCUAGGAACUGCGCCCGAAACUGCAGGGCUUGAGUGCCGGAGAGGGUGGUAGAAUUCCCGGUGUAGAGGUGAAAUUCGUAGAUAUCGGGAGGAAUACCGGUGGCGAAGGCGGCUACCUGGACGAGCACUGACGCUGAGACACGAAAGCGUGGGGAGCAAACAGG
This 253-nucleotide ribosomal RNA is filed under the name uncultured bacterium. RNAcentral's name for it is "partial 16S ribosomal RNA". It matches the Rfam family "Bacterial small subunit ribosomal RNA", at positions 524 to 776 of the family's 1533-position model. The record is from RNAcentral.